GUUGAAGUUCAGGUAACACUGAAUGGAGGACCGAACCGACUUACGUUGAAAAGUGAGCGGAUGAACUGAGGGUAGCGGAGAAAUUCCAAUCGAACUUGGAGAUAGCUGGUUCUCUCCGAAAUAGCUUUAGGGCUAGCCUCAAGUGAUGAUUAUUGGAGGUAGAGCACUGUUUGGACGAGGGGCCCCUCUCGGGUUACCGAAUUCAGACAAACUCCGAAUGCCAAUCAAUUUAACUUGGGAGUCAGAACAUGGGUGAUAAGGUCCGUGUUCGAAAGGGAAACAGCCCAGACCACCAGCUAAGGUCCCAAAAUAUAUGUUAAGUGGAAAAGGAUGUGGCGUUGCCCAGACAACUAGGAUGUUGGCUUAGAAGCAGCCAUCAUUUAAAGAGUGCGUAAUAGCUCACUAGUCGAGUGACACUGCGCCGAAAAUGUACCGGGGCUAAACAUAUUACCGAAGCUGUGGAUUGUCCUUCGGACAAUGGUAGGAGAGCGUUCUAAGGGCGUUGAAGCAUGAUCGCAAGGACAUGUGGAGCGCUUAGAAGUGAGAAUGCCGGUGUGAGUAGCGAAAGACGGGUGAGAAUCCCGUCCACCGAUUGACUAAGGUUUCCAGAGGAAGGCUCGUCCGCUCUGGGUUAGUCGGGUCCUAAGCUGAGGCCGACAGGCGUAGGCGAUGGAUAACAGGUUGAUAUUCCUGUACCACCUAGUAUCGUUUUAAUCGAUGGGGGGACGCAGUAGGAUAGGCGAAGCGUGCUGUUGGAGUGCACGUCCAAGCAGUAAGGCUGAGUGUUAGGCAAAUCCGGCACUCGUUAGGCUGAGCUGUGAUGGGGAGAGGAAAUUGUUUCCUCGAGUCGUUGAUUUCACACUGCCGAGAAAAGCCUCUAGAUAGAUAACAGGUGCCCGUACCGCAAACCGACACAGGUAGUCAAGAUGAGAAUUCUAAGGUGAGCGAGCGAACUCUCGUUAAGGAACUCGGCAAAAUGACCCCGUAACUUCGGGAGAAGGGGUGCUCUUUAGGGUUCACGCCCAGAAGAGCCGCAGUGAAUAGGCCCAAGCGACUGUUUAUCAAAAACACAGGUCUCUGCUAAACCGUAAGGUGAUGUAUAGGGGCUGACGCCUGCCCGGUGCUGGAAGGUUAAGAGGAGUGGUUAGCUUCUGCGAAGCCACGAAUCGAAGCCCCAGUAAACGGCGGCCGUAACUAUAA
This 1200-nucleotide ribosomal RNA is filed under the name Listeria monocytogenes. RNAcentral's name for it is "bacterial LSU rRNA". It matches the Rfam family "Bacterial large subunit ribosomal RNA", at positions 744 to 1945 of the family's 2925-position model. Lineage: Bacteria; Bacillati; Bacillota; Bacilli; Caryophanales; Listeriaceae. The record is from RNAcentral.